Molecule: long non-coding RNA, 4321 nt
Organism: Mus musculus (house mouse)
Lineage: Eukaryota; Metazoa; Chordata; Mammalia; Rodentia; Muridae
Product: predicted gene, 38871
Exons: 2
Source: RefSeq, a predicted model, not a curated record
CAUAUGCCAAAUUCUUCUAUUCAAAGACACCAACAUUUAUUCAAAUAGGUGCAGGGAUUUACAUUUUCUAUUGACCAAAUGCUAAUUUUAUUAAAAAAUAUUGUCUUAUAAGCAUAAAAGUUUUUUUAAAUCAAUUUAUAAAGGUAGUCUAUCUAGAAUCAGCGAUAAAUAUACAUUUAGAAGAACUUGUCACACACCCCCUCCUCCUAAGAAUUGGAUAAGUAUCACAGCUUCCAAAAGAACAGUAUUUUGAUCAUUAUACAAUGUGGGUUUUUUGCACUUUGAAGUCCCUGUUGUUACAUAUGUUCCAUGCAAUAUGAAUACAUCAGUUGGAUGUUACCCAAGUGUUCUUUACUUUCCAUGAGAUAAUGCUUCUUAGACUUGAAACUCCAUCUCUGUUUCUGGCAAUCUUCCAAGAAAACUCUUUUCUCAACCCCUUUAUUGAUUUCCUGUUGCUCCAUGGUUGUAUUUUCACAAACAUAAUGACACUAAGCAAACAUGCCAUCUCUGUCAUGGUGUCUCUAGGUCAGUGUUCCGGGCACACCUCCUUUGCUACAGCUUCUCAAACAAAGGCAGCAGUCAGCUGUUGAUCAUGAAUGACUUUCCUUUGAAGAUCCUGCUGAGAAAGGGUUUGUUUCCAAACAUAUGAAGUUGAUGGCAGAGGUACAUCAUGAAGUUGUAUGCCAUAUGUUCAAGAUGCUGGUCCUGCCUGUAUCAGUGAAGACUCUGUGCACACAGAUGAUCACCACCACCACCACCACCACCACAAACAACAACAACAACAACAACAACAACAACAACAACAACAACAACAAUAACAAUAGUGAAUGUUAGUGUUCCAAAGACAAAGAAGCUGUAUGGUGUGCCAAACUUUCUCUUUCAUCCUGUAACAUUCCUGGGUAGUUUAACUCUGGAAAGCUUGGGUUGUACCACACUGUUAGUGAACAACUCCCUCUCUGUAAGUCUACACACCAGCAUUUCUUCGUUUAUUCUCCAAUGGACACUUAUCCUGAUGCACCAUUUCUAUACCCUACUUCAAGAACAUCCCUGUAGAGAUUAUAACAUUUAGAGCAUUCAAGGUUCUUCUGUUACAACAUGUAAAAUUAAAAAGCAUUUUAAUUCAUUGAGAUGUACAGAAAUUGAUAUUCUUAAAGUUUAUAUUUAAUUGCAUUAGGAAAAAUGCAGAAAGAUUACUGGAUAAAUGGAAAUAUAUGGAGCUAGCCAUUCCUCUAAUCUGAUCCCUUCACAUUUUUGCUUGUUUUUUUUUUUAAGCUCUAACUAUUUGUUAUUAUAUUAAAAUCAAACACAAAUUGAAGGGUUGAAAAUAUCUUUUUCUAUUUCAAAGAACACAUCACUGAAAAAUAAGAAAAAUAUAUUGAUGUACUAUCAAAAAUUAAUGCUGUCAAUGACAAAAUAAAUAAUCAUUUCCCAAUACAGUGACAACUUUCCAUUUAAAUAUGCAUACAGAUAAUUUUCAGCUGCUUGCUUGAAACCAGCUGGUUUCCUUUUAUCUUUUGAUAAGUAAUGUAAUGAGAAAUUUUUACUAUUGCCUUUUCAUGUAGUCUUCUUGUUUUGUUUUGUUUUGUUUUUUCUCAUUGGCCCAGUUCUCUGCUGUCUAGAACUAUCCUGCUUUUCUUCUGCACAUGUCAGUGAUUGCUUAUCUGUCUAAACUAUCACUGUGGUACUUCGUUUAAUUGGUUUGUCUAAGACUGGCUAAAGACUCAUUGUUGGCUUGAUGAUCUAAAACAGUGAUAGGUAAAAGAUGCAUUCAAUAAACCAAAUGUCAAUCAAUACUCAGCAUGGCUUGAUUACAACCAAGUCAGAUGUAGCCUAAGUUCAUACAUUUGUCCAAAUGUUAUUCAAAAUCAUAGAUUAGCUCAUGUAUUUUGGUGUCAUAAAAAUAGUAUGUAAAUCACCUAUGAACUGAUAGUAGUCUACUCCCAUACUCUGUAUCUAAGUUUAGAACAAUAUUCAUGGCUAUCACCAUUGUAUAACUUGCAAUGGGGACAUUAUGAAGUUACACAUGUACUCAGUAUGAAAGACUUCUGUGAUUGAAUAGUAACGUCCAGUAAGAACAGACAAUACAAAGGACACCGUCAACUUUGACAGGAAGAGAUACUCCUUCUUCUCAGUUUUCUGGUGAGUAAACUGGGCUGAGGAGUAGUAAGGCAUUUUUUUUAUGAUUCAGAUCCCCAGAUUCUAAUGGUGGACACAAAAUAUUUGAUUCAUGAAUAAUCAAUAGCAACUGGUUGUCUCCACAAUUUGAAGGCUAAGAUUUCAUGACCAGAUAAUGGUGUGCAUAAAUUUUUCUCUUCCUGGAUUGUAAUGCCAACUUCUGUCUCUGUACCCUCACAUGCCAGAGGGUGUGGCUAAGUCUCUAUGUCUCAUCUUAUCACUGCAUGUUUUUUUUUUUCCACAAGGCCUCAUCCUCAGCCUCAUCUAAAUGUCAAGUAAAUCUCUUCCAUAAUCCCCAAUCCAACUGUGGGUUGGGAUUUGAAUAAAAGGAUUUUGGUACAUCUAAACCUUAUGCCCCUAACUCUCAACACCUACAAACUCUAUAGUACAAUGUCUUUUUUGCCAUUAUGUGACAGUACUGCUCUUUAGAUUAAAACUGCCUCAAUUUUCAAAUUUUCGUGUUUAGCAAUUAUAAACAAGCCUCAGGAAAUACACAUGAUUGGGUUUGUGUGUCAAUAUAUACACUGAAUCACACUGUGAUCAAACUCUGAAUGUGUUUAUAAGAUGAGGUCCUUCUGAAGGAGAGUCUGAGCUAAGUGUAUGAAUUGCAGAAACUCUCAAUCAUAUCUAUCACAAGAGAAAACUGUUAAGCUGUAAGAGACAGGAGAAUGUCACAGGCAUUAUACCUCUGAGAGUACAGCUGUGGGACGAAGGGCAUGACCUACCUGUAAAAUAGCCUCUAGAUUGGCCAUAAGUCAAGUCUAGCCAGCUCUCCCGGAUACUUGAUUUUCUGUCCAUGGACUUCCUUCUCUGCUAUACCUCAUUGUCAGGGAUCAGUCUUGCCAACAAUUUAUUACCCAGGUGGUAGGCACUUGAUACCAAAUGGAAAAUCCAUCGCUCAUCCCUUGGCUGUCUCCCUGAUAUUGUUGUCUUCAGAUCUGUUUCUACCACUUCAUUAGUUUUAGUCUUCUCAGAGCACGUGCAUCAUAUGUACUUUCAGAGUGAGGCAAGGAUGUAACCACAUGUGACAUAAUAAGAAAUACAUUUCUUUUUAAGUCUCUGCUCCAGUUUCUAACAGAGAGCUCCUUAAAGUUGUAUAGUUUCCUGCAAACUAGAGAGGCUGAGAGUAUCUUUUGUUGAGUUCUCAGUUGGGGGAUAUAAUUCCUAACAUAGAGUUUCUAAAUAUUUUUUACAGUACACUUUAGCCUAAUGAGAUUCAACUCUCUACCUGCCACAAUUCUUGGCAAUCUCAGAACCAGGGCUGUGAAAAAAUGGCUUAUGUAGAUUCAUGGAGAAUUGCUCGGUGUGGAGAAGCAAAAUCAGUUGAUGUUGAAAAACUGGGAAUAAAAAAAGACUUUUAAACUAAGACUUAGUUUUCAGAGGGGGUAAAAUCAUUAUCUCAGCAAACAGUGAGAGUAUCCCUUUGAAUUUUACUAUAUUUAAUGCUUCCUGGCAUCUGCAUGUAACUUUUCCACCCAUCACCUUCUUUUGACCCUUCCAUGUCCCCUUAUUCUAUUUUAUAUCCAUUCUGGUACGCUAAUUUUCUCAGGAACAAACUCAUAUAAUAGUCCACUUUUUCAGACAGAUCAUUCUUUACCCAAGUUAUACUAAAACUUACAAUGUAUCAUUCUAUCCUUCUAGAGUCUCCCUUUCUCAGUCUGCCAAAUGCUGGGAUUGCAGAUCUGCAUGGCCAUGCUCUGCUUGUUGUCUCAAAUCUUCACCUGACCAGGUGUUCCUUGAUUUCUUUUUGUUUGUUGGUUGGUUUUACUUAGGGGACCCAGCAGUUAUCCACCCAAAUUUUAUUUUUUCCUUUCUUUGCAUCUGAUUUUGCAUGAUGAGUCCUACAGCUUCUUCAUUAACCCUGUCUUCUGGGAAAGUACUAAUUUUUAAAAUAAGAAAUAAAUAUCAUGUUUCUAGAAAUGCAUUUCUAUCUAACAUGGUCAAUGAAGGAGCAUAAGGUCUGAAUGACUGGAUAGCAACCAUUCAAAAUGCUUGGUCUUAAAUAUACCUUAUUUGCCGAACAAAUGUAAUGAACACUGUGUUCAGCUACCUGUAUUUGUAAUGGGCAGAACUCAGAAAUACCUUCAGAAAAAAUUCUUUGUCUGAAAUCGCAAAGUACUUAUGUUUUAUUAAAAGUUCAUACAUA